This is a long non-coding RNA of Equus caballus (horse), 1662 nucleotides long. The record is from Ensembl. NCBI's taxonomy places the organism in Eukaryota, Metazoa, Chordata, Mammalia, Perissodactyla, Equidae.
UGACAAUCGUGACCAGUGGUCACACUCGCACUUAACAGCAUAACCACAACCACACUGACGUUGGCCAGUUAUGGAGCGCCUGCUGUAUGCCAGGCCCUUCACCAGCCCCUGAAUCCUCCUGACCAUGCCCCAGGGAAGGUGCGAUCACUGUGCCCAUUUUCCCAACGAGAAAACUGAGGUACCGUGUGUCCAAGUGAGGAAUGGGCACUCUUUUUCUGUAAAGAGCCAGAUAGUAAAUCCCUUUAGGUUUUGCAGGCCACGUGGGAUCAGUUACAACCACUUGACUCUGCCACGGUCGUGUGAAAGCAGCCAUGGACCAUACAGAGGUGAACGGGGGCAGCCGUGUUCCAAUCAAACUUGCUUUACAAAAAGAGGAGCCGGGCCAGCGUGGGCCCUCAGGCUGCAGUUUGCCAGCCCUUGGUCCAGGGGACCUGCCCGCGACCCCACCGACCACGGUGCAUCAGCGACAGAGCCGUUCAGCAUCGGAACACGACGCUCACCCCCCUGGUCAGCGGUCACUUUACUGGCGAGGAUUAUGUGAUGGUUAAUGUGAUGCGUCAAGUUGACUGGCCCCGGUGCCCAGGUGUUUGGGUAAAUGUGACUUCCGGUGCGUCUGUGAGGAUGUUUCUGGGUGAUGAACCUUGGAUCCGUAGACUGAGCAGAGCAGGAUGCCAUCUCUGAUGCCGUGGGCCCCCUGCAGCCCCGGGAGGCCGGGACAGACGGAAAGGCUAGGAAGACAGAAUUCUUUCUGCCUGGCGGUCUCGGAGCUGGGACUUCGUCUUCUCCUGCCUUCUGACUCGGGUUCAGCCUGGAGCUUACCCCCACCGCCUUCCCUGGUUCUCUGGCCUCUGGACUUGGGCUGGACCCCCACCAGCGGCUCGCCCGGUCCCCAGCUUGCUGGCUGCCGGUCUCAGAUCUCUCAGCCUCCCUGAUCACAUGGGGAAACUGAAGGUUGCACCGUUGCAGUGAUUUCUGCAGGACCAUCAGCUCCAGAGCCGGCCCGGGGCUGGGGACGGCUGGGCUGGUGGCAAGUUCCAUGGGGCAGCAGUUGUGUCCAUGUGAUACUCUGCUGUGUCCCCAAAGCCUGGCACCUGGGGCUCCCUAAGGACUGUGGCAGAGUGAGAAGCAGCCAGGGAUUCCUGGCUCAACCCGAGAAACUUCCUCUGUGGGUCUCCAGCUCCCCGGAGAGGGCAGGAAAGCGUGCCCAACUCCCUUGUCUGUUUUUUUGCAUUUGGUUUCUUGCACUUUCUGUGGUUUCUGCUUGGUUUUGUUCCUGGAUGCCUGACGGAGUGGGGAGGGGGUGUGCACAGUUAAAGGGCGCCCAUGGGAGGAAGGGCCCUGUGUGCAAAAAAAAUAGCUCCCCUUCGCAGUGGGGACACAAAGAGCCCGACUGACCUCAGGAUUCCGAUGGAGCUGGGAGCGGGCUGCCGAGGCCUGGGGCGGCUCUGCUCUCUCCAGUAAGCUCGAAAGGGGUGGCCCACCCACAUGUGUACCACCACCCGCUUAUUCAUUUGUCCAUCCUUCCACCCAGUCAGCUGUCAGUUCAUUCUCUGUCACUUAUUUACUUAUCCGUUUAUUUCUAUGUUAAUUCAUUCGGAUGUCCUACACCUUUAUACUGAUUCAUUGAUCCGUCCAUCCAUCCACCCGUCCCAUAUUCAUCCA